Molecule: ribosomal RNA, 120 nt
Filed under: Rosellinia necatrix
Lineage: Eukaryota; Fungi; Ascomycota; Sordariomycetes; Xylariales; Xylariaceae
Source: RNAcentral
ACAUACGACCAUAGCCUCUAGAGAACUCGGGAUCCCGUCCGCUCUCCCAUAGAUAAACUAGAGAGCGCUAGAUUAGUAGUUGGGUCGGUGACGACCAGCGAAUCCCUAGUGUUGUAUGUU